Molecule: ribosomal RNA, 812 nt
Filed under: Fusarium dimerum
Lineage: Eukaryota; Fungi; Ascomycota; Sordariomycetes; Hypocreales; Nectriaceae
Description: eukaryotic LSU rRNA
Rfam family: Eukaryotic large subunit ribosomal RNA
Source: RNAcentral
UGCCCUAGUAACGGCGAGUGAAGCGGCAACAGCUCAAAUUUGAAAUCUGGCUCUCGGGCCCGAGUUGUAAUUUGUAGAGGAUGCUUUUGGCAAGGUGCCUUCCGAGUUCCCUGGAACGGGACGCCAUAGAGGGUGAGAGCCCCGUCUGGUUGGACACCGAGCCUCUGUAAAGCUCCUUCGACGAGUCGAGUAGUUUGGGAAUGCUGCUCUAAAUGGGAGGUAUAUGUCUUCUAAAGCUAAAUACUGGCCAGAGACCGAUAGCGCACAAGUAGAGUGAUCGAAAGAUGAAAAGCACUUUGAAAAGAGAGUUAAAAAGCACGUGAAAUUGUUGAAAGGGAAGCGCUUAUGACCAGACUUGGGCUUGGUUGAUCAUCCGGCGUUCUCGCCGGUGCACUCUUCCAGUUCAGGCCAGCAUCAGUUUGCCUCGGGGGAUAAAAGCAGCGGGAAUGUGGCUCCUCCGGGAGUGUUAUAGCCCACUGCAUAAUACCCUGUGGCAGACUGAGGACCGCGCUUCGUGCAAGGAUGCUGGCGUAAUGGUCAUCAGCGACCCGUCUUGAAACACGGACCAAGGAGUCGUCUUCGUAUGCGAGUGUUCGGGUGUCAAACCCCUACGCGUAAUGAAAGUGAACGCAGGUGAGAGCUUCGGCGCAUCAUCGACCGAUCCUGAUGUUCUCGGAUGGAUUUGAGUAAGAGCAUACGGGGCCGGACCCGAAAGAAGGUGAACUAUGCCUGUGUAGGGUGAAGCCAGAGGAAACUCUGGUGGAGGCUCGCAGCGGUUCUGACGUGCAAAUCGAUCGUCAAACAUGGGCAUG